UGGGGGAUUCCCAUGAUGCAUUGAGUUUUUCCUUUUCAGUCACCUUUCUCACUCACUAUGUGUUAAUAGACCUCUCUGCACUGAAUCAUACUUGUUAUUAAUCUGUCUCUCUUCCGGAGGUUUCUUCCUGUUAAAAGGGAGUUUUUUCUUCCCACUGUUUCCAAAGUGUUUGCUCACAGGGGUCAUAUGAUUGUUGGGUUUUUUCUCUGCAUGCAUUAUCGUAGGGUCUACCUUACAAUAUGAAGCUGAAUUGAACUGAAUUGAAGAAUGUAAGGAAUGGGAUUUACUUCAACUUUCAGUAAGCAUUAGCUCAUGAAACCAUGUUGGAUUUGAUUUGAUUUACUUUGUUUAUAUGGUUUUUUUUUUUUUUUUAAACUGGUAUAAUAGUUCAACAAAUAUUUGCAAAUACAUAGUAAUAGAUUACAUGGAUGUUUUUAUGAGUACAUCGAUGUAUCUUAACAAGCGUUUCUAAAAAAAGCCCUAACUUUAUUGCGGCUUCCUUAAUGACAAGGCAACGUUUCAUUAUCGACUCCAUUGCUGGUGAAUGAACCCAUGUGGGCAGAUAUAAAUCUCAUCUGCACUGUCCUCCUAUUUCAGCUGGCUGAUAUGAUAGUUAUCCUUUGGGAAAUUCUCGCGAAGCCUAAUAAGGCAUUAAAGCUGAUUCCGUUGCUUUUGGAAAAGUACGAACGGGCUCAGAAAGCCGAAUAAUGUCCUCAUUCAAAUUUGACACACUUGAAGAAAAAUGCUGAGCAUUUUGAAGUCGUAAAAGUUGGAAGUGGGUGAGAGAGACAUAGUCUUACAAAUGAUUUUCAGCAGCUUCAUACCAUACGGGUAUCAGACUGGAGACUUUCCUAAUAGAUUUUAGUCUAACUUUUCAUCAGCCUGCUGAGAGAAAUCCCCCAAUGGUCUGGAGAAUCAAAGAAAAUAAUUUCAACCCUUGCACCAUUUUUCAUCACCUUCUAGAGCUAUCAGAAGGCAUGUGCUGCUAUUUUUUUCCCUAGGCAAGCAUAUGAGA
This is a long non-coding RNA of Astatotilapia calliptera (eastern happy), 1015 nucleotides long. The record is from Ensembl. Lineage: Eukaryota; Metazoa; Chordata; Actinopteri; Cichliformes; Cichlidae.